This 634-nucleotide ribosomal RNA is filed under the name Melopsittacus undulatus (budgerigar). RNAcentral's name for it is "partial 12S ribosomal RNA". It matches the Rfam family "Bacterial small subunit ribosomal RNA", at positions 541 to 1431 of the family's 1533-position model. Lineage: Eukaryota; Metazoa; Chordata; Aves; Psittaciformes; Psittaculidae. The record is from RNAcentral.
UUAACCGCAGACGGCGUAAAGAGUGGCCCUAGACUAUCAUAACCAACUAAGACCUAACCAUCAACCCAAGCCGUCAUAAGCUAAAGGUACCCUGAAGCCCAACCUAUAAACGAUCUUAGCACUUAUCGACCUAUCCCACCCCACGAAAGCUAGGACACAAACUGGGAUUAGAUACCCCACUAUGCCUAGCCCUAAAUCUAGAUGUUUUACCCACACAAACACCCGCCCGAGAACUACGAGCACAAACGCUUAAAACUCUAAGGACUUGGCGGUGCCCUAAACCCACCUAGAGGAGCCUGUUCUAUAAUCGAUAAUCCACGAUACACCCGACCACUUCUUGCCAAUAACAGCCUACAUACCGCCGUCGCCAGCCCACCUCAAAUGAGAGCACAACAGUGAGCCCAAAAGCCUACCCCGCUAAUAAGACAGGUCAAGGUAUAGCCCAUGAAGUGGAAGAAAUGGGCUACAAUUUUCUAAAAUAGAACAUACCCCCAACGAAAAGAGGCCUGAAACCUGCCUCUAACAAGGCGGAUUUAGCAGUAAAGAGGAACAAUCAAGUCCUCCUUAAGCUGGUCCUAGGGCACGUACACACCGCCCGUCACCCUCCUCACAAGCCCCCAUAAUCAAACUUAAC